This 444-nucleotide ribosomal RNA is filed under the name uncultured bacterium. RNAcentral's name for it is "SSU rRNA". It matches the Rfam family "Bacterial small subunit ribosomal RNA", at positions 26 to 518 of the family's 1533-position model. The record is from RNAcentral.
AGAGCGAACGCUGGCGGCAGGCCUAACACAUGCAAGUCGAGCGCCCCGCAAGGGGAGCGGCAGACGGGAGAGUAACACGUGGGAACGUACCCUUUGGUUCGGAACAACACAGGGAAACUUGUGCUAAUACCGGAUAAGCCCUUACGGGGAAAGAUUUAUCGCCAAAGGAUCGGCCCGCGUCUGAUUAGCUUGUUGGUGAGGUAACGGCUCACCAAGGCUACGAUCAGUAGCUGGUCUGAGAGGAUGAUCAGCCUCACUGGGACUGAGACACGGCCCAGACUCCUACGGGAGGCAGCAGUGGGGAAUAUUGGACAAUGGGCGCAAGCCUGAUCCAGCCAUGCCGCGUGGAUGAUGAAGGCCCUAGGGUUGUAAAGUCCUUUCGACGGGGAAGAUAAUGACGGUACCCGUAGAAGAAGCCCCGGCUAACUUCGCGCCAGCAGCCGC